GCCAGGAGGGAUUUAAAAAUUAGCAUAGGGGAAAGGGAUGCCCUUUAAGGGGCCUCUUAAGCCAGCUGAAAGGAGUGGCUCUAUUUGUGAACAGACCAUAGGGUGUGCAGGACAGAGCAGUUCCAGCCUGUGUUGUGUUGUCCAGUGUGUCUUCUGUGUCUUUGUUCUCCCUUGGAUCAGAUCUCGGAGGCCUUUUCCCCUCAGGGGGCUUAUUGCAAGUGUCAGCCAUCAUCUCCAGGUGCUUAAACAUUCACUCUUGUCGGCACGAUGCCGAUCUCGUUUGUUCUUUUACGGUGGGCUUGGCUGUGUCUUGGCAUCCCAAAUCAGAAGUACCGAGUCAGGUGUCUUUUGAGGCCUUGUUCCCGGCUGUACUGCCAUCCAUCCUUUCCAGCCGUGAGCUGUAAUGCCCUGGGGCUUGUAAGAUUGUCAGGAUAUGGGAGCAUUCUGAAUGUGGCACUGUCUCACAGCCAUCUUGAUCAUUGUGACUGACAGCUCUUAGAACAGGUCACUGUUCCAGUCUUUUCUUCUGCUCCUGAGAGCCUCCUGUGUCCACGGUUGCCAUACCAUUGGUCAUCUCUUUUGGCAUCGUGUCGAUCCUUGCUGUUGUUCUUCUUGCUGAGAGCUUUUUUAAUCAUCCUUGUGUCACACUGUAGCAUCAUGUGUUGUUUGUGUUUGGAACUGCUCUGUCCUGUGGAGUAGAGUGGGGGGUAGGUGGAGUGGGGUAUGGGCACCAGGGGACCCGUGGGCAGGAUGAGUACCAGCAAUGGAGAUGAGCAUUGAUUCCAGCACAGAACUGGGUGCUACUGGAGUUGCUGUAUUAGUGAUGGAACUGUAAGCAUUUUUUUGUGUGUUUUACAGGUGGUCUGUAGCAUUCAAACUGCUGGUCCAAUGUGACAGAGACCCUUGCAGCAAGAGGUCACGGUUGAACGGUUUUGGAUGGAAACUCCCCCGGCAAUGUGACACUUUUGGACCCUGUGUGGGCACGUGCCUUUCUGUUUUGUUUUGCCCCUUCUCCCCCUGGGAAGGAAGUGAAGCCAGAUAGCAGCAGUCAAGGUCAAGUGAGCAAGGUGUUCCACUUGUAUUUUGCCUACCAGGGCUGAGCCCCCUUGCUGACCAGCUGACAGAGCUGGUUUGGCACCCUCGAGUUGCUCUUGCGAGCCCUCUGGAAGUAUUACAGGAAUCUGUGAUGAAGCUGUUACCUUUUCCAUUUGGAGGUGUGCCCUGCGACGACGGCAUCGGCCUCUGAGUGUGGCCGGAGCAGGCGGGCCGAGGACCCGGGCAUUCUUAGGAGAUGCCAACUAAGGGAGAACAGCCCACUGAGGGCAGGACCUUCCCAGAUGGCGAGGCGGCCGUCUUUUGCACCCGACGCAGACGGAUUAAAUCCCUGGCAGAGUGCCCCAUACCAGGUGAGGGGGUUCCCAUGGGAAGGAAGUAAUGCUGGAUAUUGGCAGUCAAGGUUGAUGGAGUGAGGUGGUCCACUUGCAGGAUGUCCUGGCCCUGGAUGCUGGAGGGUGCAAGCCUAAGGUGCUGCUGCCGCCCUGGGCGUGCCAAGGGCCAG
Molecule: long non-coding RNA, 1558 nt
Organism: Corvus hawaiiensis (hawaiian crow)
Lineage: Eukaryota; Metazoa; Chordata; Aves; Passeriformes; Corvidae
Exons: 9
Source: RefSeq, a predicted model, not a curated record